Molecule: long non-coding RNA, 1150 nt
Organism: Vigna radiata var. radiata (mung bean)
Lineage: Eukaryota; Viridiplantae; Streptophyta; Magnoliopsida; Fabales; Fabaceae
Exons: 2
Source: RefSeq, a predicted model, not a curated record
CUUAUGCUGGUAAAGAAUCUCUUCUAAAAGAUUAAACUUUUAGAGUAAGAGACAAAGGAAUUUGUGACAAGGAAAAAGAUUUUGUGCCCUUGCUUCACAGAGGUGCUGUUCGUGGUCUUCCUUGAGAGAGGUCCUCUUUGUUCACAGAGCCUCCGUCAUCGUGAGUGUGAGUGUGAGUGUGAGUGUUCCCAUCAGAGUGCUUUUUCGUUCAGUGCCAUCCGUCUCCGUCUUCGUUGGCGGACAGUGGUAAGUUUUUCCCCUAUUAAAAUGGGCCUUGCACGCUUCGGCCCAAUCCAUUCUUGGCUCAGAGAAUGCAAGUAAAGAAGCUUCUCGUCAGCGUACGUGGCAGACUUCAAUAAAGGGACAGACCAAGAGAGAGAAAAGAGCGAGGCGUUGUGUCUGGAGAUCGAGAGAGAAAGGCGAUCAGCACCGUCGAUCUCCGUCGUGCACGGCAGCGAUGAAGAAGAUGCAGAAGGGAAAAAUGACGGUGAUGAUGAGAAUGAUAUUUCCUAUCACAAGAGAGUGGAGCAGCCAUUGCUCUGCUGUCCGACCAGUCAAUUUGGUAUUGUUUAUUGGUUAAUUUUGUACCAACUUAGGUAUGAUUGUUUAUUUGGUUUUGUUGUCUAUUUGCAGAUAUUGUUUCCUUCCUUAGGGUCAUGUAUAAAAUUACAGACCACACUACCAACAUAGGCAGAUAGAAGAUCGGUAUAUACAACUUGCUACAUAGGAUACCUUAUAGAUAUCUUCCUUUCCUCAAGGCAAUUGCAUGAUUUCUGUAACUUUUUUCAAUUUUAUUUUCACGGGCAUCUACCUCUGGGUUAACACAUUAAGCUCUUAAUUAACUAUUUAAUAUCCUAAUUGUACUAACCAUACCAUUCCUCAUUCUUAUACGUACAUGUGAUUGUCCUAAAUUUUUAUAUACUUUCCUGAUUAGAAAAUAUUUUAUUUAAGAAAUUAAAUGAUAUCAAUAAACUAUUAAAACUAAAUUUAGUACCUCAAAGGUUUUGUCAACCGUGGCACUUUUCCCUUUCCUUCUUUGCCGCAUACUUCUGAUUUCAACUUCGGUGUCACCACACCGAGCAAGUCUGAGAUUUGAGAAUCUUCCAGAAGGCCGAGGAUGAGUUGGUCGACGUCCAGGUGCGUGUUGCGC